UAGGGAAUCUUCCACAAUGGACGCAAGUCUGAUGGAGCAACGCCGCGUGAGUGAAGAAGGUCUUCGGAUCGUAAAGCUCUGUUGUUGGUGAAGAAGGAUAGAGGCAGUAACUGGUCUUUAUUUGACGGUAAUCAACCAGAAAGUCACGGCUAACUACGUGCCAGCAGCCGCGGUAAUACGUAGGUGGCAAGCGUUGUCCGGAUUUAUUGGGCGUAAAGCGAGCGCAGGCGGAAUGAUAAGUCUGAUGUGAAAGCCCACGGCUCAACCGUGGAACUGCAUCGGAAACUGUCAUUCUUGAGUGCAGAAGAGGAGAGUGGAACUCCAUGUGUAGCGGUGGAAUGCGUAGAUAUAUGGAAGAACACCAGUGGCGAAGGCGGCUCUCUGGUCUGCAACUGACGCUGAGGCUCGAAAGCAUGGGUAGCGAACAGGAUUAGAUACCCUGGUAGUCCAUGCCGUAAACGAUGAGCGCUAGGUGUUGGGGACUUUCCGGUCCUCAGUGCCGCAGCAAACGCAUUAAGCGCUCCGCCUGGGGAGUACGACCGCAAGGUUGAAA
RNAcentral lists this ribosomal RNA (553 nucleotides) under uncultured bacterium. Its description in RNAcentral is "partial 16S ribosomal RNA". It matches the Rfam family "Bacterial small subunit ribosomal RNA", at positions 355 to 899 of the family's 1533-position model. The record is from RNAcentral.